Molecule: ribosomal RNA, 486 nt
Filed under: uncultured bacterium
Lineage: Bacteria
Description: partial 16S ribosomal RNA
Rfam family: Bacterial small subunit ribosomal RNA
Source: RNAcentral
AUUGAACGCUGGCGACAUGCCUUACACAUGCAAGUCGAACGGCAGCACGGGUGCUUGGACCUGGUGGCGAGUGGCGAACGGGUGAGUAAUACAUCGGAACAAGUCCUGUAGAGGGGGAGAGCCCGGCGAAAGCCGGAGUAAUACCGCAGACGAACUACGGAAGAAAGAGGGGGCACUACGGAGCUAGGGCUAUGGGGUUGGCCGCUGGCGGAUUAGCUAGUUGGUGGGGUAAAGGCCUACCAAGGCGACGAUCAGGAGCCGGUCUGAGAGGGUGAGCAGCCACACUGGGACUGAGACACGGCCCAGACUCCUACGGGAGGCAGCAGUGGGGAAUUUUGGACAAUGGGCGAAAGCCUGAUCCAGCAAUGCCGCGUGUGUGAUGAAGGCCUUCGGGUUGUAAAGCACUUUUGUCCGGAAAGAACAACUUUGCCCUAAUCCGGGCGCGUGAUGACGGUACCUGAUGAAUAAGCCCCGGCUAACUACGUG